AAUUUGAUUAAUAUCUUUCAAAUAAAGCAUCUUUUAAACAGACGAGUGACUUUUGCAGGGUAGACGAUGAAGAACUCACGUUUUGCUGUUUCCUCCGAGGCAGUUCUGCAGCAGGUCAGACUCACCUUGUUGGCCAGAGACAUGAUGACGAUGCCCAGGUUGGACAGGGAGCUGUUGAUGGACGUCAUCUCCUUGAAGCGCUCUCCCUGAGACUGACUCUUCAUCAUUCGCUCGCUGCCGGCCAGGUCCACCAGGCAAAGAGUGGCUGUAACCGUGGAAACCAGGAUCAGUCAGGAAACCAUUCAGUUCAUAACACCUGAACAGGUGCAGCAAUUAAAUUCUGGAGCCGAUUUAUAACCUCA
Xiphophorus couchianus (Monterrey platyfish) is the source of this 362-nucleotide long non-coding RNA. RefSeq lists it as uncharacterized. The transcript is spliced from 2 exons. The record is from RefSeq and is a predicted model, not a curated record. Lineage: Eukaryota; Metazoa; Chordata; Actinopteri; Cyprinodontiformes; Poeciliidae.